GGGCCGCUAGCUCAAUUGGUAGAGCAGCGGACUCUUAAUCCGUUGGUUCUAGGUUCGAGUCCUAGGCGGCCCACCA
RNAcentral lists this transfer RNA (76 nucleotides) under Gammaproteobacteria bacterium. Its description in RNAcentral is "tRNA-Lys". It matches the Rfam family "tRNA". From Rfam's summary of the family: Transfer RNA (tRNA) molecules are approximately 80 nucleotides in length. The record is from RNAcentral. Lineage: Bacteria; Pseudomonadati; Pseudomonadota; Gammaproteobacteria.